CCAUGUUCUCUCUCCAUCUUAGCACCACACAGUAAACCUAUAAGCUCACAAACUCAUCAAUUCAAAUAAUCUAAUGGAUGUGGACCAUUCUACUUCUAGAAACUUUAUGUAACAAGGUAAAGUACCUAAACCCCUUUCUUUUUCUCUAUGGGCGUGAUAGUCCAAUUUCUCGCUACUAAGGAAUUUCACUUUUCAAUCUUUAUGAAUCUUGGUCUGCAUGUACCCUUUUGGAUGUUUGGGUAGCUGUUAAGAAUGGAUAGAAACUUGGAAUUAGUAAGAACUCUUCAAAGACUUGAAGAAUUAAGUUGAGGAGGCCUAUAUAAGGACAGUAGCUAAAGAGCAUAGUAGAGGAUAAGAACAAUCAAAGCUAGGAGCUUGAAGGACUUGGGUUGAAGCUUGAGGAGUGAUUGGUGAUUUUUUGGUGAAACUCGUAUUCUGGUAUAGGUUUUCAUUCAAAAGGUAAUAGCUCUCUCGCUGUAACUCCGAAUUGAGUGAUUUUUGUUUCUAUGGAAAGCUGACGAAAUUCCCUUCGACUGAGUUUUGAUUUUGUAAUUUCUGGAUCAAUAUUGAGGCCUCGGAAGGCUUCUGAAGUUGAGGGUCUGAUAUGGAUUUUAUGCAGAAAAUUCUCUAUACGGAAUUGAAGUACCUUAUAUGCAAAUUCUGCAUUUUGGCGAGCUCCAGGAGAUGUCGAUAGUGUGGUUCAACUUCAAUUUCAGGUGGGUUUGUUUAAGUUGAGACAUGGCAACCAUAAGUCCAAAGCAUAGGGAUUUAUAAUUGUUAAGUUAGAAAAAUUGAUGAAUUUGUUUAGAAAUGUAUACUUUGAAAUGCUCGAGUAAAUUCCCUUCCCCAUACUCAAAUGUGUUAUGAAUGUGUUUGGAUAAUUGUAGUUUCAUGAGGUAUAAGUUAGGAGUCAAUGGGCAUUGUUAAAAGUUGAUUUAAUAACUUAAUUUUUAUGAAAUUAACUCCAUUUUUGCAGUAUCGAUCGAUUGAUCACCGUGUAAGAUGGAAAAAAUAUGUUGUUUUAAGGCCUGGAUGACUCCUGACUCGUACAAUAAUGGUCCUUGAUUAUUAGACAUGUUCACACACCAUUUUAACAUCAAUUUUAGAAUGGUAUGAUAAUAAUUUAGAGCUUAUGACUUGUGCGAGUUUUUCCGUAUAUUAAGACACGUUAACGCCAUUUUCGGUUGUGGUACUAUAUUGUGAUAAUAAUUUGGAGUUGACUGAUUUCAUAACAAUUUAUUUACUAUUCGGCUCUAAGUGAUUAGCAUAAUGUAUGUAAAACCUCCAACCGUCUAAUGCGAGUUAUUGUGUAAAGAUGCAUGAGAACAUAAACUAUAUUAGUUCCCCGGGACUGGUUGUUAAGUAAGAAUGUUAGAAUUAGUAUAGUUGGUCAUAUUGUGGUUAAUCCCAAACCACAAUUCAGUAUAGCUUAUGCUAUAAGAGGAUUAAGUGGAAAUCCGUUAAGUUAAGUAAUUAUUGUGAGUAAGACCAACGUGGCAUAGCUAUGACACAACGGGUAGUGGAGAACAUUUUAAGUGGAGAAUAUAUUGAGAGAAGU
Molecule: long non-coding RNA, 1558 nt
Filed under: Trifolium pratense (red clover)
Lineage: Eukaryota; Viridiplantae; Streptophyta; Magnoliopsida; Fabales; Fabaceae
Description: long non-coding RNA (TPRA_LNC002517)
Source: RNAcentral